GUUCCUGUAGUGUAGUGGUUAUCAUGUUUACUUUACACGCAAAAGGUCUCUGGUUCGAAACCAGCCAGAAACA
This is a non-coding RNA of Poecilia formosa (Amazon molly), 73 nucleotides long. The record is from Rfam. Lineage: Eukaryota; Metazoa; Chordata; Actinopteri; Cyprinodontiformes; Poeciliidae.